UACGUAGGGUGCGAGCGUUGUCCGGAAUUAUUGGGCGUAAAGAGCUCGUAGGCGGUCUGUCGCGUCGAUCGUGAAAACUUGGGGCUUAACCCUGAGCUUGCGGUCGAUACGGGCAUGACUGGAGUUCGGCAGGGGAGACUGGAAUUCCUGGUGUAGCGGUGAAAUGCGCAGAUAUCAGGAGGAACACCGGUGGCGAAGGCGGGUCUCUGGGCCGAUACUGACGCUGAGGAGCGAAAGCGUGGGGGGCGAACAGG
Molecule: ribosomal RNA, 254 nt
Filed under: uncultured bacterium
Lineage: Bacteria
Description: partial 16S ribosomal RNA
Rfam family: Bacterial small subunit ribosomal RNA
Source: RNAcentral